CGUGCGUGAUGACCAUUCUUGCCUGACUCAGACAUGAAGGUGAAUUACUGAUUUAAUGAGCCUGAUGC
This is a small nucleolar RNA of Brienomyrus brachyistius, 68 nucleotides long. The record is from RefSeq and is a predicted model, not a curated record. NCBI's taxonomy places the organism in Eukaryota, Metazoa, Chordata, Actinopteri, Osteoglossiformes, Mormyridae.